AUGCAGGUAUAGUUGUGGUAGGCAAACACAUUUUAACCUAAAAUGAAAACUAUUAGAAUUGUUAUUAAAAUACAUUAAUAAAUACACCAUUGGCAGAAAGGGCAGAUGGUAGUUAUAGCCUGUGAGUCGUUAAUAUUAGAUAAAGGAAUAUAUACAAAGAGAACUUUAUUCUAAAGUUCUCUUGAUUUUCAUGAACGCAUGUGAUAAAUAUAAUUUGUGAAUAAUGGCCAAUUUUAAGAAUCGACAUAACAUUAAAUUCUGGAACUCUUAUGUAAUUUGUCAAAUGAUAAGCUCCUCUCUGGCUUUAAGUUUCAAAGGCUCAUGAAUGCUGGAAAUGUGAUGAGAAACGAGUUUUGAAACCAUCUUAAACCUCUUUAAUUAUAAAAAUAUCUUUUACUAGUAAAGAAGUAUUUUUACCAUAUGGAAAAAUUUGGCCUUAAUUUAAUAACUAUCUCCAUCUCAAAUAUAUUUUGUAAAUGCAGUCUUUUGGCUCCUGAAAUAAAUACACCUGUGUGUAUUUGUUUCACACACACACACACACACACACACACACACACACACACAAACUGAUCACCCUGUUUGUCAGCCUUUGCUUAAAAAUUAGGACAUACUGGAUUAAACUGUGAGUUAGUGGGGACCAAGUAAGGUCUCAAAGGCUAUUAUUAUUGCCCUAAUAUUCAUGUUCUUGGGGAGCUAACUCAAAUUAGAAAAUAUAUAAUAGAUUGCAGAUUAGUCAUAGUUGACUAUAAUAUAAUUAAUUACUUUAAUCUGUUUAAUGAAGCAUUCAUCAGAAGGGGUGUGUGUUAGCUUUGGAGUCAGAGAAAAUGCAGAGCACAAAGGUGAACAUUGUCAAAGUGAACACUGUCAAUGCCCACCUAAAGUCUACUUUGAGGAGAGGGUGUUCAGUACCAAAGGCAUGUGAAUUCCUAUAUUUGUAAGUAGUAAGUAUUAUUUUUCUUAGGAGCAGAAUGUUUUCCUAGGAAUUAUUAGGUAAAUACUUUGAAAAUCUAUUUGGCAUGGAACAUGAGACCUCCAGGGGACAAACUUAAAAAGCAGAACUUUGCAAACAAUAGAAAGGGUUUAGCUAACUGCAGGCUUUGCUUUUCUAGGUAGGAAUACAAAACUGGAGCCAGAAUUUAGUUGUUCAAAAUAAUAAAAUCUAUUUGGGAUCUGUGUGGACAGAGAAUGAAGAAAAAUUGAAACAGAGAUAUACAGAUAAGGUUAUUGCCUUCCAUGGAGAAAUAUUAAGGGAAGAAAUAAGAUAUUUAAUUGGGCUUUUAAAAUUAACUGUAUGAUAAUCAUUUGGCUUUUUUCUUAUACAUUAUGAAGUCUGAAAUACUAAUGCUUCAGGCCUUAAAGUUUAAAGAGAAAGUCCAGAAACUUACGUCAUGUUGGGUUUGGGGUCACAUCUGAGGCUGUCUGUGGUGGUCCUGCCACAUUUAAGUCCCCUAGAGGCAGAUCUAGUCAGCCAUCUUAGCCUCAUGCUACUAAACACUCAAACCAUGUAACUAAUAAGCAUGGUUUUGAGUCAGUAUUCUGCCAUGAUACAUCUAAUUAUAAUCUGGUUUCUUAGAACUUGUUGGUCAUAAGUCAUGAGGAUAUUGUCCCUUGGGGAAAUACUUUUUAUUGUGAGUAUUCAUUUGACAUUAGGAUUGAAUCUACUAGUCUUUGUGGGCAUUACUGAUGUGAAUUUGUCAAGGUGAUGCCACACUGUGGGAACUUAUCCUUAAUCAGUGUUUUCUGAGCCCACUAUCCCUGCAGAGUAACACAGUAUAAACAUUACACCUGCUAUUUCUAUUUAAAUAUAAUAGCAUCCAAAAACAAAAUGUAAAAAUUGAAGUUUAAGACUAUAAUAGAGAGAAGUCUUGAUUUCCAAAAAUUGGCCUGUCAUCCCUAAUGGAGACCAAACAUGCAAUAAGAGGUCUGCCUUAUAAACACAUAGUUGGGUUUCAAGAGACAUAAUCUAAACUGGGCUACAGAAAACACAUAAAAAGUCACAUAUGGUUGUACCACAGAACAUUCCUAACUAUGCCAUUUUAAUCUUAAAAUCACAUAGAGCUACAUGCAGAGCAAAUAAUGCUGAAGUUGCAUUGAGAUGUUCUGGAUUGUUAGUGAUUUUAGUGGAUUUUGCUGAUAUUUUGCUGUUUAUGACUGACAUUUACAGAAGCUAGAGCCUAACACAGUCAUUCCAGAAGAAAAUUUCCCUGCAGUGAACAAAGCCCUUUUGUGCUUCUGGUAAAACAUGACUCCACUAAGGCAAUUAGCUGUUUUAAAAAUAAACUAAUUCAUUUUGGAGAUCUGAUGUAUAAUUAUGCAGCUGCAUGGGCUGGGACGGCAUGGUGACUGGCUACAGUGUUAGUAAAAUUAGAAAAAAAUGCAUCUCCAUGUUGACAAAGUACUGAUUUAUUGUCCAAUUGCCACCUUUGCCUUGUUUGGGGCUACAGAAUGAACUUCUUUCUACAAUAAUAAAAGUAAUUUCUGAUAAUGAUAGCAAGAUAUCUCCCGGGACAGGGGAAAUGGUAACCAAAAAUAUUUAUCCACAUUCUUGCUUCUAAGAAGCUUGGCACACUCUAUAAAAUUAACUCUUAAAUCUCUGUAAAAAUGUGACUCAAAGAAUUUAACUUAAUCACUUUAUACACAGAACAAUUCCCUACUAGUUCAAGAAACAGAAUAUUUGGUGACAUGGCACUUUGUGUGGGAUCAGGGGUCAGAAGAGUCCAUGACUCUUGUCCCAUUUGCAGAGAUUUGUUACUAAGGCAGUGGCUUCCCUGGGUGAAAAGAUCAAGGUCUGGUCAUUGACCACCACAAGAUCCUUCCAAGCUUGGUUAGGCAAAGGAUUCCUCCUGACCAUGACACUACAGCAGGCCUUGCUUGAAGCCUGAGCUGCCACAAAAUCCACAGGGUAAAUCCACACCAUAUAAUGAACUUUAGUUUAAAAUUCUAUUAACACUUACUGUGACUAUCUUUCAAUUACAUUUUAUGCUUCCCAAUAAGUGACAUCAGCAACAUCAUACAAGGUUUGAUGCUGUGUUUAUUAAGAAGUAGUUCACUAAUACCUUGAAACCAUAGAAUAUGAAUUUCAGCUCAAGAUAAACACAUAAAAUAAUCAUUAUCUAUUUCAAACAUGCUUUAAAUGCUCUGAGAAUAUAAAAUCUUGUUAAAAUUUGGCAAUAAACCUGCCUUACUCCCCUAAAGGAAAAAAUCAUAGUUCAAAGAUAAUAAAAUAUGUACAAAUAAAGACAUGUAUUAAAAUUUGA
Nomascus leucogenys (northern white-cheeked gibbon) is the source of this 3257-nucleotide long non-coding RNA. RefSeq lists it as uncharacterized. The transcript is spliced from 2 exons. The record is from RefSeq and is a predicted model, not a curated record. Lineage: Eukaryota; Metazoa; Chordata; Mammalia; Primates; Hylobatidae.